UACGUAGGGUGCGAGCGUUGUCCGGAAUUAUUGGGCGUAAAGGGCUCGUAGGCGGUUUGUCGCGUCGGGAGUGAAAAUCCAGGGCUUAACUCUGGACUGGCUUCCGAUACGGGCAGACUAGAGGUAUGCAGGGGAGAACGGAAUUCCUGGUGUAGCGGUGAAAUGCGCAGAUAUCAGGAGGAACACCGGUGGCGAAGGCGGGUCUCUGGGCCGAAAUUGACGCUGAGGAGCGAAAGCGUGGGGAGCGAACAGG
This 253-nucleotide ribosomal RNA is filed under the name uncultured bacterium. RNAcentral describes it as "partial 16S ribosomal RNA". It matches the Rfam family "Bacterial small subunit ribosomal RNA", at positions 524 to 776 of the family's 1533-position model. The record is from RNAcentral.